CCGAAGCAGAGAAGCUCCUGCCCCUGGCUUAAAAAUUGACUAUCCUGGCUAAAAACAAAAUAUUCCCUUUGCUUCUUCAGAGAAGAUUCAACAGGAAGGACAAUAGCAUCUAGUGCCUCCAUUGAGAUUUUUUAAAAAUAAACUUUUUAUUUUGGAAUAAUUUCACUUUUACAGAAAAUUUACAAAUUAAUACGAAGAGUUCUCAUGUUCCCCUCUCCUAGUUUUCCCUAUUGUUAACAUCUUACAUCACCACAGUACGUUCAGAAAAACUAAGGAACAAACAUUGACAGGUUACUAUUGUUAGUUAAACUCUAUAAUCUUUAUUCAGGUUUCACUAGCUUUUCCAUGAAUGUCCCUUUUUCGGUUCCAGGAUUUCAUCCAGCAUAUCAGAUUACAUUUAGUUGUUGUGUCUUCUUAGUUAUAAUUUUCCAGUCUUUCCUUAUUUUGAUACUUUGAUAAUUUUGAGAAGUAUUGGUCAGGUACUUUAUAUAAUGUCCCUCCAUUUGGGUUUGCAAAGUAUUUUUUUCAUGAUUACACUGGGGUUAUGGGUUUCUGGGAGGAAGACCACCAAGGUAAAGUGUCCUCUCAUCACAACCUGUGGGAUGUACCCAGGUGCUGUCCACAUGAUUUACCUGUGGUUCCACCAUGAUUUGAAGGCAGAGGGCAGGCUCUGAGAAGCCUCCUACAGGAUGAGGGUCUUGAUUCAGAGUCCUUCCCUCUGGAUGCACAAGACCAUGGAUUGCUGAUCAAGAAGGACCCUGCAAAGCUGGAGAUGGGGUGGAGUGGGGCAGUGCUGCACAUGGGAAGAGCAACAGACUAGAAGCCAGGUCUGUCUGGCACUAGUCCUGACUUCACCGCUUCUGAGCUGCGUGAUGUUGAGUGAGAGUCUUUAACCUCCCUGGCCUCAGUUUCCUCAUUCACCAAUCAGUAUGUAACCCCUUCCCCUCCCUUCCUUCUAGGGUUGGCAACUGGAUCAAAUGACAUUAGAUUUGAAAAGACUUUAAAAAGUAUAAAAGACAGUACAUAGAUGGGAAGUCAGUCUUUAAGCCUGCUUUGGAUUUUCCAGCAUUUCAGCUCCAGCAGGAGGAGAAAGAUUUACUUUCUAUUUACUUAUCACUGUUAACAAGCAAACACAUACAAGUCAUAUGGGUGUGUGUGUGUGUGUGUAAUCUUUUAACUUUUUUAAAAGUCUGAUUUAUUGAAAUAUAUUUACAUAUAGUAAAAUUCAUCCUUCUUAUGUGUACAGUUCUGAGUUUUGACAAAAAAUACAAUCAUGUAAUCCUUACCACAAUUAAGAUAGAGAACACGAGACAUAGAAUACUUCCAUGACCUCUUCACCCCCAAAUUCCCUCACACUUCUGUCAUCAACCCAUUCCCCUACUCUUAGCCCCUGGCAAUAUUGACCUGUUUUUUGUUCCUAUUUUCUACAAUGUCAUAUGAAUUGAAUCAUGUUGCCUUUAUUGUUUUUAGUUCUAAAAACAACAUUAUUGAGGUAUAACUGAUAUACAAUAAAAUGCACAUACAAAAGUAUACAACACGUAAGUCUUGGUUAUGUAUACAUUUGUGAUAUCAUCCCCACAAUCAGGACAGUGAACAUAUACCCAUCACCCUAAAAGUGUCCUCAACUUCUACUGUCACUGCUUUUCAGCAAACUGAUGGUUCUCUGCAUGUACUCUGAGGCACAGUGCUCACUCCCACUGUUAUGCCCUCCUUCAGGUGGCUUUCUUUCCCUUAAGCUACCACCUGGCCCUUUUGAUCUCUCCAAAUCCUGCCCAUCCUUCAAGUCUACGCUUUAGCCCUCCCCACCACCCAAUGUCUAAAGGGUCCUUUAAAGUUAUCCUUUGAGAAUAAUUCAGCCCACACUUGCUACUUCCUUCUCUACUCCUAAUGUACUUACAGACAACCUCUCAUUGUGGUCUUUCUUUAUAUAACAGUGUUUGUAUCUUACUGUCCUAAGGUGAGUGGCCCAGUGUUUAGCAGCAUGGUCUCUGGGGUUAGAUAGUUAGGUUCAUAUAGUUAACCUUAGGCUCCUGUUUAACCUCUGUCUCUGUGUCAUUUUUCCUUAUCUGUAAAAUUAGGAAGACAAUACAGUAUCUACCACAAAGGGUCUUGUGAGGAUUAAUUGGGUUUAUCUGCAUAAAGCACUUAGAAAAGAAUCUUGUUAUACAGUAAGCACUUAAUAAAUGUCCACUGGCUUCAUCAGUACCAUUACCGUUGAAAGCCUUUUAACAGCAAAAACUACAACUCUCACUGUGUCCACAGUAGUGGGCUUGUGGAUGGAGCUCAGAUAUUUGUUGGGCUUUUGAUCAAGGGACCAUUCCAGUGAAUCAGAAAGUUCCUGUGACCACUUAACAUAUUACACGCUUGCUUGUGUACUGCUCUUAGAUGAUAUAAAAACAAAUCAAAUUCCCAAACCAAAAAGCUGCACUCUUUUGUCUGGGUAAAUACAGCUAUGACAUGUCUAUUUCCAUGGUUUAGAAUAUCACCAGUGGGAAUCUACUGUGGAAAAUUGAGUACAACACUAUCAUCAUAUGAUUUGUUUUGCUCAUAUUUGGCUGUGCCAUUGGCUGCGGAGCCAGGCAGCGAACUCCACACAAUGAGGAGCCUGUGAAAACGCAGAGAAGGCAAGAAAGGAUGCAAACAUUUAGGCAGCAUCUGAUGGUAGCUGGCUUGUGGUUUACCUGGCCUUUGGUUAGAUAACUGUGCCUGAUCCCUAUGGCCAGGAAGGAAGGUAGGGUCAUGUACUACAAAUUUUGACCUUGUACAUGAGGAAUAUAAAGACAAAUUAGCCACUGCCAGAAUGACUAAAAUUAAAAAGACUGACAAGGAUGACAGUGCUAAUGAAAAUGAAGAUCUGUACAACAAAAGUACAGGCCUACCUCAGAGAUAUUGGAGUGUUCAGUUCCAGACCACGCAAUAAAGUGAAUAUCACAAUGAAGAGCUGAAGAAUUCACAUUUGGGCUGAUGGGCCUGGGGUAGGGAUGACCAACAGACCACAUGCUUCUUGUCUCUUCUACUCCCUGAUCCUCUGAUAGACAGGGCUAAGUGAUCAUCCACUCCUUCCACCCUCCAGCCUCCGAGUGGGCCACUUUUCAAGCAUGGAAUUCCAGGGAGCCCUGGAAUCCUGUGGAUACCGAGGGACGAUUGUACAUUUUGAGAACCGAAGCCCGGUGCUACCCUGUUGCAGCGAUGAAGUAUCCAGGUCACCUGGAGAAAGCUGACAUAAGAGCAGGCACACAGCAGGAAGCUUUGAUCCUCAUCUUCUCUCUGGCUGCAGCCCUCAGCUCUUGUGCACCAACUCUGACCAAUGACUAGGACUGGCUGCUCGGAGUACAGCUGUAUUGAGAAAGAUUCUGAGGCUGGGUCUGCAUUCAGCAGGAAAAAAAAUGAAGAGGUGUAACACUAUGGACGAGUGGGCAACUGGCUCUUCAGGCUUGGAACCAAGAGGGGGCAGCAGAGAGCAGAGAAGAAUUGGUUGGCUUGGGCUGACCCAGACCUAGGAAAACUUCCAAUCUUCUUCUUCUUCCCUCAAAACCGAAUCCUUGUGGACUCACUCUUGAGACUAUUGUCCACACAAGUGGUGUGGUCCAAGGCCACAGCAAGAAAGGUCUGAGGGAGUUCUUUGGGGUUCAGGUGGAGAAAAGCCUGUGCUGGAUGCCAGGCUGCUCUGAGAACAGGAAGGAAGAUAAUAAUGUUAACAGCAACAGUUACAAUUACCCAGCCCCUGUAGGGUGCCAGGCCCUCUGCCAAGGUGCUUUCUUUUCAUUCUCUCAAAGACUACUUGAGGUGGGGAAACCCCCAGUUUACAGAUGAGAAAACAGGGUCCCAGAGUGGUUAAAUACCUUGCCCAUGAUCACGUGACUAAGGGAGGGCCAAGCCACAUUUUAGACUCUUGCCUGUCCUGCCCUCUGUGUUAUGGUGCCCUUCCAGGAAGGAGGCAGAAAGGUGCACCUGGAGUUAGAAUAUCCUUGGGGAGUGUCCCGGACCCAAGGGAAGGCAAACGGUCCUUCUGGUACAGACUGCUGUCUCCUGAUGGCCACGGGUCUCCUGACAGAUUUAGCCAAUUCACUGGCUCACAGGUCCAUGCACCAUCCUCAGCAGAGCCGGGGUAAGGUAGCUGGGCUCGAACAGCCCCAGAAAAAGGCAAAAAGAAAGAUAACAGAAACUUGUAUGGAACUUUCAAGUACUCACUGUGGAAGUCAUUGAUUUAUCUGCCUACUGUGAGAGUUAUGUCACGUUGGAAGGUCACAUUAGAACGCCCCUCACCUCCUGCAGCCUCAGCUCCACCCUGGGCUCAGAGAUCAAUCCUUGCCUUAUUUAGGGAAGCACAUCCAAGCAUAUUUGAAACUUUUGGGAUGGGCUUGGGGAUACUGGCACCAGGGACAUCUUGCUGUCAGUACUGUCCUGAUUCUGAGAACUCCACUAACGCCACAUUCCUCAAUCCAAGCCUGGAUCUGGGACUCAGGCUGCUGCCUCACUAAAUGCCUUAUCUUUUGGGUCACUGCAGACCAGGGCCCUGCCUUCUUUAGCCAAUGUCUGUUUCCCUCAUCUGGCAGUAGGACAUCAGUCUACCAAAAGAGUCACAUGUUCAUAUCCCAGCUUAGGUCCAAGUUGUGAACCAACUUCAUUUCUUAAUGUAAUCACUUUUUUGGUAUUGCUUUUUUUCUCUAAAAAGUAUGUAUAUUUUCUGAUCCUACAUGUAAUAUUUUCUGGGCCAGUUGCAGUGGCACACACCUGAGCUACUCAAGGAAGCUGAGGCGGGAGGAUCCCUUGAGCCCAGGAGUUUGAGGUUACAGUGAACUAUGAUUGCGUCACUGUACUCCAGCCUAGACAGCUAGCAAGACCCCAUCUCUUAAAAAAAAUUGUUAGAAAAUACUUUAAAGCAUCAAGGAGAAAAAAAUUUCUCCUAUCUUUCUGGAUACAUUUUUCUCAACUGCGCUUAUUACUAUCUAACACCGUCCUUUACUUAGGUUUUCAUUGUUUGUCUCCUUCUCUAGAAUGGGAGCUUGACAACAUGAGGGAUUUCAUGUUUUGUUCACUGCAAGUUCCUUAAUUCCCAGAACAAUACCUGGCACAUUUACAGAAUGAAUGAAUUAAUUCAUAAUGCCAUGACAUCAGAUAUAAUUUUAUUUAAUAUUAUAGAGGGAACAUUUUUCAAUGUCAAUAAAAUUUUUUCAAAAGCAUCAUUUUAAAUGGCUGAUAAUAAUCUAGGGUAUGGACAUCUAAGCAUGUGUUAAGUAUGCCUGCAGUUUUGGAUACUGAAAGAUUACACAGAUUAAUUUGAUUCCCCAUUUAUCAAGCUACAGCAGGGCCAGGCUCACUUUGUUGUUUGGUUUCUUAGUUUCUUGUUCCUGGUCGAAUGAACAGAUGAGACUGGUGAAUUAUGGAGAAUUUCUGUCACUGCCCUCUCUAGCCUUGGCAUAGCACUGUGGCUCCUCUCUCCAAAUUUCUAGGUGAUCCAGCCGGCUGGGCUCUAUGUACUGAAGCAUAGGCUGCCCAGCGUAAGCAGAAUUGCUAACAGGAUACUAUUAUGGUACCCACCUGUGUGGCCUUGUGGGGGUGGGGGAACUUACCUUUGUUCCUGUCCUCCUCUAGAAAAUCAGUUACAUUUCUCUUGCCUCCCUCCCAAGGAUGAUUUCCAGGGAAGCAAAUUAAAAAGCGGUGAAAAGCCUUUAACAAUUACUCAGAAAUCUAUCAUUUCAUCCUCUUUCACCUCCAGUUCAAGUUUAAGAACA
RNAcentral lists this long non-coding RNA (5735 nucleotides) under Homo sapiens (human). RNAcentral describes it as "HSALNT0172802". Lineage: Eukaryota; Metazoa; Chordata; Mammalia; Primates; Hominidae. The record is from RNAcentral.